This 1017-nucleotide long non-coding RNA is filed under the name Apteryx haastii (Great spotted kiwi). RNAcentral's name for it is "lncRNA (ENSAHAG00000014016.1)". The record is from RNAcentral. Lineage: Eukaryota; Metazoa; Chordata; Aves; Apterygiformes; Apterygidae.
AUGCUAAACCCAUUUGUCCACCCUCUGGGAGACAUUGUCCAUGGUCCAGGUGAGUGCUUGGUGGCAGCAGGGAACCCUGGCACACUCCCUUACACCCUGCUGCCCUGUGCUGCUGCGGAGGUCUGUAACACACGGCAAAGCCAACAUUACCUGUUCCUGACAUUUUGGAGACAAGGAGCCCAAGGCCAAGGAAGCACUGGGGUUUGCACUGAGGUCACUGGGAGACCCAGUCCCCACAGCAGCGAUGCAAGCCGUGCUGGAGGUUGCAGCACGCAACAGUCUUGCAAUCCUAUGGCAAGGCAGAGGCAGGAGGUGAAGAGGCUGGUCAGACAUUUGUGUCUGAGCUCAACCCUGCAGUGUGGCCUAGUCCCACCAGAGCUGGAGUCUGCAGGCUCUCCAUGGAUCCUGGGCUGCCCCUGUCUCUCUCUCUCUCACACACACACACACACACACACACACAAAACCAGGCAAACCAAACCACGGUACAGGCUCUCUGCAUCAUGCUGGGGGUGUCUCCCCAAAGGGAUUCGGGCUCAUCCAGAACAGCUUGCUGCCAUCGGGAAGAGGAGCGAUCACGAGGCUGGAGGCUCCCGGCUGUCACGCAGCCCCAGGAGGGUGGUUUAUUACAUGUGGGCGCCCUGGCGAGUUUGGCUGGUCAGAUGGUGUGUGGAAAGGACAAGCAGGACAGCCCUGACAUCAGGAGCAUGGCACAGUGCUGUGGCAACUGCUGGAGCAGGACUGGGGCCUGGUCCUGGCAGCCUCCAACCUAUGGGACGUGGGCACGGUUCGGGGUGGGGGAUGCCCUCCCCGGUCUGGCCAGUGCCUGGUGAGAGCAGGUCUGCCCUCCUGGGCAGAUGCCUGGGACCAGGGAGGUGUGCAUCUCUCCUCCUCCUCCUUCCAGUGGUGGGAGCAUCCAGCCCGCAGCAUGACCAUGGACAUCCUCCUGCCUCCAGUGUUGGUUUGUCCUUCUCCCUUGCUCUGGUGCUCCUCGUUGUCCUACAUAGCUGUGAGUCAUAG